Long non-coding RNA from Mustela erminea (ermine), 1326 nucleotides. RefSeq lists it as uncharacterized. The transcript is spliced from 8 exons. The record is from RefSeq and is a predicted model, not a curated record. Lineage: Eukaryota; Metazoa; Chordata; Mammalia; Carnivora; Mustelidae.
GUCGCCAUCGCUGUCGCCGACGCCAUCGCUGUAGCCGACGCCAUCGCUGUCGCUGACGCCAUCGCUGUCCGCCUCCUCCUGGACUUCAGUGGCUCCAGGGCCCCGCUCAGCGAGGAUACAUCCUUAUUGGUUGGAGAGUUGAGUUGAGCAAGUUUUUGGUUUCUCCAGCUCCUAGGCCCGGGUCCCGUGGUGGACAAUGUCCCUGAAGGACCCCGCGAUCACCGCACAGCCAAGCUCACCACUCUAGUUGAAAUCCGAAGCUUCAGCAUUCCCACGGGCUCCCCAGGGCAUCGUGUGCCCAAGGUGCCUCAGCCCCCGCGCCUGAGGGGGAGAAGUGCCCCUGCCUCGUGGUCCUGGAGGAUGGCUCAUAAACCCACCGAAGGCGCCGUGAGAGCAGAGAGCCGCUGGUUCGUCACCAGAGGUCGGCAACGAGGACAGAUCGUGAUCUUGUGACCUAAGAUUCCACAUGUAUAUGAGAUCAUACAGUAUUCGACCAAAGAAAAUAUUAGUGGAGCCCUCCGUCUACUUUGCAAACAUGGCCCCUGGGAUGUCGGCUGGCUAUGCUAGGGAGUCAUGCUGGUGCCGGGAAGCUGGUCCUCAGGAUCUGGAAAGGUCUGAGAAUGAGGACGCUAUAAACCUAAGCCAGCAGCCCCGAUCCCAGAGCACAGCUGAUGGCUCCUGGUGUCACAGAUUCCAGAGAAACCGAGUAACUACCAAAUCCUAUCUUUAUGUGGAGGGAGAAAGGUGGUGAUGUUUGGUGAGCAAGAGGGCACACCAGGACUCCAUGCCUUAAGUGAGGGGUGGCUGCGUGCUGGGACAGAGGGUGAAACCUUGAUUGGAGAGCCCUUUGAAGGAGAGAGCUAUGCGCAUAGGUGGAGUGAGUGCUGAAGUUUUCAACCUGGGUGAGCGCUGCUCCUUUCUGGGUGGCUCCGGGCCCAUGGCAGGACAUGGCUGCUUAGAGGCCGGACCUCAGUGGGAUGAACUCCGGACGCUCUCUCUCAUGGGUCACCCACUGUUCUGCGCUUGUGUUCCGUCCUCUGUCAUAGGAAGAGAAGGGACUAGGAUGCCGGCACAAGUCCCUUUCGGAACAGUGAUGACGGUGAUUUCUUCCUUUAACCCAGGUGUCUCCCCAGAAGACACAGAGGUACUUUGUUUGGAAGAGCAGCACGAGAUGCCCAACUCUGCGUAUUUCUUAUGCUUAAGCCACCACUCUGCCUUAAUACAUCUGGGAUCUGAAAGGAAAGACAAGUUUAAAAUACGUGUGACAAAAAUGCCAUGCACGUACAGGAAAGGGCAGCCAGGGGUGCCUGAGGAAUGUCACACAUA